AGUCGAACGGAAAGGCCCCUUCGGGGGUACUCGAGUGGCGAACGGGUGAGUAACACGUGGGUGAUCUGCCCUGCACUCUGGGAUAAGCCUGGGAAACUGGGUCUAAUACCGGAUAGGACCGCGCGCUUCAUGGUGUGUGGUGGAAAGCUUUUGCGGUGUGGGAUGGGCCCGCGGCCUAUCAGCUUGUUGGUGGGGUAAUGGCCUACCAAGGCGACGACGGGUAGCCGGCCUGAGAGGGUGACCGGCCACACUGGGACUGAGAUACGGCCCAGACUCCUACGGGAGGCAGCAGUGGGGAAUAUUGCACAAUGGGCGCAAGCCUGAUGCAGCGACGCCGCGUGGGGGAUGACGGCCUUCGGGUUGUAAACCUCUUUCAGUAUCGGCGAAGCUCCGUGGUUUUCUGCGGGGUGACGGUAGGUACAGAAGAAGCACCGGCCAACUACGUGCCAGCAGCCGCGGUAAUACGUAGGGUGCGAGCGUUGUCCGGAAUUACUGGGCGUAAAGAGCUCGUAGGUGGUUUGUCACGUUGUUCGUGAAAACUCACAGCUUAACUGUGGGCGUGCGGGCGAUACGGGCAGACUAGAGUACUGUAGGGGAGACUGGAAUUCCUGGUGUAGCGGUGGAAUGCGCAGAUAUCAGGAGGAACACCGGUGGCGAAGGCGGGUCUCUGGGCAGUAACUGACGCUGAGGAGCGAAAGCGUGGGGAGCGAACAGGAUUAGAUACCCUGGUAGUCCACGCCGUAAACGGUGGGUACUAGGUGUGGGUUUCCUUCCUUUAGGGAUCCGUGCCGUAGCUAACGCAUUAAGUACCCCGCCUGGGGAGUACGGCCGCAAGGCUAAAACUCAAAGGAAUUGACGGGGGCCCGCACAAGCGGCGGAGCAUGUGGAUUAAUUCGAUGCAACGCGAAGAACCUUACCUGGGUUUGACAUGCACAG
This 936-nucleotide ribosomal RNA is filed under the name Mycobacterium sp. RNAcentral describes it as "bacterial SSU rRNA". It matches the Rfam family "Bacterial small subunit ribosomal RNA", at positions 60 to 993 of the family's 1533-position model. Lineage: Bacteria; Bacillati; Actinomycetota; Actinomycetes; Mycobacteriales; Mycobacteriaceae. The record is from RNAcentral.